This 119-nucleotide ribosomal RNA is filed under the name Pteropus alecto (black flying fox). The record is from RNAcentral. Lineage: Eukaryota; Metazoa; Chordata; Mammalia; Chiroptera; Pteropodidae.
AUCCACGGCCAUACCAUCCUGAACAAGCUCGAUCCCGUUUGAUCUCAGAAGCUAAGCAGCGUUGGGCCUGGUUAGGAUUUGGAUGGGAGACCACCUAGGAAGACCAGGUGCUGUAGGCG